RNAcentral lists this long non-coding RNA (1008 nucleotides) under Ficedula albicollis (Collared flycatcher). Its description in RNAcentral is "lncRNA (ENSFALG00000024949.1)". Lineage: Eukaryota; Metazoa; Chordata; Aves; Passeriformes; Muscicapidae. The record is from RNAcentral.
AUGAGCAUGGUGCUGGCACUGGGACACCACAGUGGCCCUGGACACCCUAACACAGCCCCUUGUUUCUUACUUGGUGGCCAGUACAGGGGAUGGUUUGGUCUUGGCAGGAAUAGGGGGAGCAGGAACUGCCCUUUUGGUGAGUGGGAUCUUGGUUGGCUCCAUCCUCGCUGGUGCUGGGAGCUCUGGGGAGAGGCAGGAACAGGGCUGGGGCUGAGAUCAGCACUACCAAGAGUGGGGCAGGAAGCACUUCCUGCUGUGACAUGCCCUGGCCCAGGGGACCCGUCCCAGGCACAUCCCUGCCCUUCCCUGUCCCCCAGGACUCACCGGGGGGGCUCCCCGUCCUUGCCCUCCUUGUCCUUCGCUGUGGUUCCGGCUGCCAGGGAGCAAAGGGGCUCGUCAGGCGCUGGGGAAGGAUCCUUGUCACAGCCUCUCCCAGCCCCGCUGUGGUCGGCGCUUUGGUUCCGGCUGCCAGGGAGCAAAGGGGCUCGUCAGGCGCUGGGGAAGGAUCCUUGUCACAGCCUCUCCCAGCCCUGCUGUGGUCGGCGCUUCCUCUGCGUGUGGCGGACCAGGCAGCUGCAGAGUUCUCCUGAGCAGCAGCACGGGCCGCACAAGACGUCAUCCCACCACCAUCCUCAGCACAGCAGCAUCCCUGCACUGCUGAACCCCGGGGUGACACCAGGACAAGCCUGGUGGCACGGUGAGGUACAGGACGCCAGGCCAUGGGCAUGGCAGGGCCCCCUGUCCCCAUGGCAGGGCCCCCUGUCACCAUGGCUGGCCACACCAUCACUGCCAUCGGUCGCCAUGUCCCCACGGUUGGCCAGCAGCCAUGGUGCUGCCUGCUCCCUGCUGCUGCCACCAGCACAGCCCUUGCCACAGAGGCCAUGCAGACACCAAAAAUGGCGCUGGCAUUACCCACCCAAAGAUACGGCGGAAGCCCCAAGGGCUGCAGGGAUGAGGACACCCCCAUCCAAGGCCCAGUGCUCCUUUGCUCUGGUGGCACAGGGGUGA